Dreissena polymorpha is the source of this 8028-nucleotide RNA transcript. It is a transcript of the gene named forkhead-associated domain-containing protein 1-like, with no coding region annotated. Lineage: Eukaryota; Metazoa; Mollusca; Bivalvia; Myida; Dreissenidae. The record is from RefSeq and is a predicted model, not a curated record. The transcript is spliced from 30 exons.
UAUUCUUGUUUGGUUGUCACGUAGGAGCUUGUCAAAUGUGAAAAUUGAUAGUUUUGGUAACAAUAAACAAGUUCAUCCGCAAUUCAUUCAAUGCCUGUAUGUGUCUCGAAUUUCAAAUCCAUUUAAUCAGAUAACCUCAUACACGGAACGUUGUGCUUAUGUGUGUUAUAUUUGGACAUAAUUGCCAAUUACAUGCCAAUUAGUGAAUUUCGCGGGCACCUGUUUGAAUGGAAAUAACUUGUUAUCAACAACAGCUAACAUGAGUCGAAAUACAAAAGCUUACCUGAAAUCAAGUGAUGGACAAUAUUACCCACUUUCACCAAAGGUGACAACUAUUGGAAAGGAUGGCUGUGACAUCCUACUUCAGAAUGCGGGUGUGGACCAACAACAUGCAGUGAUAGAAUACAGCGAGCAGGAGGACUGCUUUGUGCUGCAGGAUCUUAACACAGGUCAGGGUACAUAUGUUAACGACGUACGUGUCCAAAAUGCAGCAGUGCGACUUGCUCCUGGUGAUGUCAUACGAUUUGGGGGAAUACCAUAUGAGCUAUAUAUAGAAAACCCUCCACCAUUACAGCAGCAGACAAUCCAGAAUUACCACCAAACCAACUAUUCUUCAGCCAACACAAUUGCAUAUCCGCCUGUCCAGCAGCGCCCAGCCUGGACCGGUACCCUGGCCUUGAUAUCGGACGACCAGACCAUCUAUACCCAGCAACAAAACCAGUCUGCGGGCCUGCCCUACCUGACCACGCCCACUCUCACAGUUCCCGCCACCCAUUGGGCGCCCAUUGCACAUGCCCAGCCCCAGAUACCGCAGCCACGCCCACCUCUUAGGUCGCGGCCUUUGAGUGCUGGGUCACGGCGACCUACCUCUGCUUAUGAUAGACUCCAGAAUAUUGGCAGCACAAUGCACACCUCCACCAUAGCAGGAAUUACCUCCCCUAUUCCAAGAACAGUAAAUACAAAAGCAUGGACCGUACAAGGUGGUGGCUGGGUGAACACAGGCACAGGUCGCAGCAUGGUUGCCAGUCAGUUUGCCCCGCCCUUGUCACAGCAGUCCAACACCCAGGGGCCCGGGGAGCUUUACUUGCUGCAUGAGAAGGAUCUGAAAAUACGAGAGCUAUCAGAGGAGGUAAACCGACUCCGUGCUGUGGAACUGGAGUCGAUGAAGAAGGACCAAACAAUGGAUCAGAUGCAGCAGCAGCUUCAGAACAUGCACUCACAACAGCAUGCUCCCAUGGUGAUUGGUGCAGAUCCUGAUGUGACGAGUCGACUGCUGCACCUGGAGAAUGAAGUGACUGCCAAGAAACAAGAAAUCAACCAGUUGCGAGAGCAGCUAUCACAAUUACAGGCUCAGACGGUUAUAGACCUUGAAAAUCCCGGAAAUAUACGAGCAGAGCUCGCUGAAAAAAUUAAAGAGCUAAAUAACCUUCGGAAUGAGCUUGAACGGGUGAAAAAAGACAAAAAUAUUACAUCAGGAUUAGUUACGCAAAUGCAGCGAGAUAUGGGCAAUAAAGACUCUUCAAUAUCAAAAUUGACCCGGGAAAUUGAGGCGCUAAAAAAAGAACUACGGGAGAAGGAUUCCAAACUGUCCACAAUGACCACCACAGUUAAUAAGCUUAAGGACCCAAAAAACGAGGAAAGAGACGCCCGGGAGCGUGAAUUGAUCAGUCUCAGACAGAAAUUCAAGACGACAGAGAGCAAGGUUGCCGAGCAGCAGACGCUUAUCGACAGUCUCCGAGAGGAAUUGGAGAAGACAAAGACAACGCUGUUCGCGGAGAAAGACGUACAGCGGAAACUCCAGGGUUUGAUUGACGAGGCCAAGAGUCAGGCCCAGGAUUUAGAGCGCGCUGAGCGACUCGUGCGUGUUGAUUUGGAACAGCUCUCCAAAAAGAAUGAACGCUUUAGGAACCGUGUAGUUCAAACAACAUUUUCAACGCCGGGUAUAAAAGCCCCAGACACAGAAAUAAGCGAUGAUGAACUCCUAGAAACGCUCAAGAAAAUAAUCGAUGAGAGAACAAACUCGUUUAAGAAUAUCAAGGAAUUGGAACAUAAGUUAAAAAUGGCCGACACCAACAGCAAAGACUUUCAAAAGAAUGUACAUGAUCUACGCAAGGGAGUCCAGAAUGCAAAAGCACACUUACGACAAAAUGGCCGCCUGUCCGGCCCUCUGAAAGACGAGAUCAGCCUCCUGCAGUCUGUGACCUGUGACGACAGCCUGGCCUGGAUCAAGGAAGUGUUUAUAGGCCUCCUGCAGGGGGAGCUAGCGUGGGAGACAGAUAUCGAAAAUGCUCUUGAGAAAUGUGGCGUCAAUGUGAAACUUACUGCUGACGAGCCUAGCAAGCACAUCGCGCUGUUAUUUGCCAAGUGGGAGACGGCAUUAAGUGACAAAGAGCGUCUGGUGAAGCAAAUUUCUGACCUUGAGUCACGACACCGUGAAGACCUUGCCUCACAAAGCACACAGCAGAAGACUGAGGUGGAGGGGCUGGUGGCAGACGCAGUGGAGAAGGCAAAACUGGAAGUUGAGGACAAAAUGAACCGUGCAAUUGAUGACAUCCGUGCAGUGGAGGCAGAGAAGCUUGAGAGUGCCCUGCAGUCCGAGAGGAGGAAGAUAGAGGACCUAGAGGCCACAGUGGAACAACUCAGAUUUAACCUGACAGAAAAGAAUGAGGACCAACAACAGAAGUUGGAGGCGGGACAGGAAGCCUUGAGUCUUGUGGAGGAAUACCAAGCCCAGGAAGUGCAACUGAAAGAGAGGCUAGCAUCUCUAGAAAAGGAGAAGAAUGAGACAUUUAUGAAACUCAGCACUGAACUUGUGGAGAAGGAGAAAAAGUACGAGGCAGAGUUGACGAGUUACAGGGAGCAGAUAAAGCAGCACUCGGUGACGAUCUGCGCGAUGGAGGAGCGGAUCACCAAGGUGAUGAAGAAGAACAAGGAGAGCUCAGAGGAGGCAGAGAGUUACAGGAAACAGGUCACAGAGCUCAAGACAGAACUAAGUAAGAAGGAGCGAGAGAAACCACCCCCACCGCCGAAACCUAAAGUGAUUCCUGUCGUGCAGAAGCCAUCACAUGACAUGGUUGCCAUGGAACAACUUAUACUGGUGCUUAGGAAGGAGAAUGCAGACGUGAAGCUGCGAAUGCAGGAGCAGGAUGACGUCAUUCUGGGGCUGAGACGUGACCUUGCAGGGGCCUCAGCACGUCUGUCUGACAUCACGGGUGAGUUGAGUGAGGGACAGAAGCAGGAGGUAGAGAAGUUCCGAGAGCUGGUGAGCCACAAGGAGCACGAGGUGGGAGAGAUGAGGCAGCAGCUGGCCAAACUCUCCAGGAUCAUUGACAGGCAGAAGGAGGAGCUGAAGGCACUGGAGGCCGACCUGAGCAAGGAGAAGUCCAUCUCACUCAAGUACAAGACCCAGGUGGACAAAGAAGUCCAGCGUGUUCAGAAUCUCGAGAAGAGCCUUGACGCUGAGAAAGUGGAGCAAUCCAAGCAGCUAGAGCUACUCGACCAGGAGGGGAGAAUCACGUCGGAGUUGACGUCCCUAGGUGCGCAGUGUCGGGGUGAACGCCACGAGCAGGUCAUAACACGCCAGAGAGAGGCUCUUGCUGAGUUGAGGUCAAGGGUUAAGACACUGGAGACUGCACGUCCUCCAGUGCCCACCCAGGACCAAGCUCUCCAGCAGGUCAUCAUGCUCAAGAAGGAGCUUGCAGAGAUGAGAGCCAAUCAGGCGCUUGCAGAGGACCGCAACAUCCAGAGUCUCACGAUGCUUGAUAGGGAGGUCGGUCGCGCACGCGGGCUAGUCACAACCUCAAACCCAGACGCAGAGAUGGAGCGUAGUGCACACAGGGAAACCAUGGAGGCAUUAGAGGCCAGCGAGAAUUCUUAUAUAACAACGCUCAACGCAAUAUCAUCUUGCCUGGAUGUGGAGGGGGUGGAAGGGUUACGUCCCCUUGGUCACAUUCCAAAGGACGAGCGGGAGCGGUUGCUACGGCUACGUGAACGCAUGUGCGAGAAACUCGUCAAUCAAAUCAGGGUAAACCGCGAACGCAUUGCACGGAAGGACGAGCUUCUACAGGGAUAUGAGAUGGACCUAGCAAAGCUCAGACAAGCUCAAGAGUUGGCAGAGAGGAAGUCACAGCAACUGGACACCCUAGCAAACGAUGUGCGUUCAAAGUCGGAGGAGUCCCAGUAUCUGCGUGAAUCUCUCCACCAGACGCGAGAUCGUCUUGACCAGGAGAAAAGGCUCAAUACGGCCAUCAAGCAGAGAAAGACAUUCCACUUGGAGAAUGAAAAGGUUCAUCUGACUCCCGCGUCACAUCGCUGUAAGCCAGAGGAUCCACGUGCGGUCUUGAAGAAGAAACGUGAGAGGGACGUUCUCAAACGAAAGAACUAUGAAAUCAAGACACUCAAGGACGAACUUACUGACAAAGAGAAACAUUUGUUCCAGGCACAAAAUAAACUCUAUGCAGUUACACAUAGUCAGUACUCAAAACCAUAGAUAUUGUGUUCAGAGGAUUUAGAAGAUGCAGAAAACAAUAGACCUUUCUCCGAUUCAGAAAGGAGUUUAACAGGGACCCAGGAGCUUUGGGAAAGAAAGACUAGCGAGAAACACAAAGUGGAAGUUGUUGGCUGACGUAAAUGUUUGUAUUAGAAAAAAAUGACAAAUAUAUGACAGAUAGUAAUAAAAAGGCUCUAGGUGUGUGCAUAGAAAAUAUAGCAAAUUUUUGUUGGAAAUGAAUUGUUCAUUUGCAGGUGGGUAUUACUCAGAAAACAAUGUUUAUGGCAUGUUGCAGAAUCGGCAUGAACUGUUCAAGAGAGCUUGCGUUAAUUAAAAUUCAUGAUCUUGUUUAUUGGCUACUUCCACACGAUUGUAAAGGAACAUUACAAAUAUAAAUGUAUGAGGUACAUAGUUAUAAUGUUGAAGGGAGUAGAAAAAGUUUAAAUAAUUUUGAGGAAAACUACUUGUCCAGUUGUUGGGUGUGUAAUAUGAUGCUCAUAUCAAAGGUGUUUCAACAGUAAUUUAUGGGGUUUUGUUUAAAAUUAAUGUGUUUACAUGAAAGGUGUAUAUAUUUGUGCCAAAAGCAAUCCGAGGAAAAUCUCAAAUUUUCUUUUGUUACUGAGAUAUACAUGUGCAGUUCUGAAAACUUUCAAUUGAUCUGACUCAGGAGAAGGUGAACUUUGUGAUUUAUAAGGAAUAUUGUUUAUUGAUAAUUCAUUUUAAAUUCAACUUCUUUUCCUUUGAACUUUUAACAUUUAAUCACAUAGGGUAAAUUAAAUUGUGUUAUAGUCAUGGAGAUAUUUUUGUUAUAUUGAAUUAAAACAAUUCAGUAAGUAUUCAUUAAAACUAAGUGAAAUACACUGUGACACUGCAUCUAUCAGUUUUGAUAAUAUUGGAUUCUUCGAUGCCAAAUUAUGCUUUCCAUAAUUUUCAUGUUACAGUAAAUCAGGAGAUUUUCAAAUUCAGCUUAUGUUUACAAAACAAUGAAAAGUUUUGCAAAUCGCAGAAAAAGAAUAAAACUGAUUUUUAUAAUGCAUGCACUUUUUUGUUUUAUACUUAUUAAGGCAUUUAUUUCAGCAGACAUGAAUGUUGAUCCAUUUUCUGUAUUCUGUGCUUCAAAAGCAAAAUCACUGCCCAUGUGUAAUGUCAGAUAUGAACAUGUUUGUUCCAUUUUUUGUGCUUUGACUUUAAAUACCCAUGAGUCUGAUAUUUAUCUAACAGACUUUUAAAUACCCAAUCUGAUAGUGUUUAACAGACAUAUUUAAAUACCAAUUGCUAAUACUUUUUAUUGGUCAAUGCUCUUGUUUUUACAUGGGUAAGAUCAUACACUGUUCUUUCGCUAAACAAGGCAAUAUUUGUCUUUUUCAGGUUUUGUGUUUAUUAUAUUUAUUGAAGGUUAUAUCAACCUUUUUCUUUUAAAUAUAUUAGCUUAUUUAGUAUUAUCAUGAUAAACUAAGGUAAAAUACUUGUUACUAAAAAACAACAACAACAAAUGAUUUAAAAAAAAUGUCAUAUUUGAUUUCUAUGUAAAUUAAAGUUUGUGAACAUUUUUUUAAACUAUCAUAUCAUAGUUUACAAUUAUUCAGAAUCUAUACUAUGUAAAGUAACCAUUUGCAAAUUUAUUAUGAACAUUAUGUUGACACACUCUCUUUACUGCAAGUGAUAAGUCCUUAUUGGUUAUUAUCAAUUAAUGUUCAAAUUAUAGAACUUGAUGUUAAAACAUUGGUUUACUAUAUAAGAAUUGGUUAUGUAAAGCAUGUGUUUUGAUGGCAUUUACAUUGUAUGUACAAUUGUGAGGAAUAAAUGAAAGUACAUACACAACUGAACUGUCCUGAAAUGUCUUUUUUUUAAGAAACGUAUUAGCCUGGAUAAAGAUAUGUUUGUAUUUUUUAAGAUCAAUAUUUAUCAUGGUUUCUAUUUGAAAUGCAUUUUACAAAUUAUAAUAUAUGUUGCUCAAGUUUUAAGAUGGAAAAUAAUGUAAGAUUAUUGUUGCAAAGUUAUGUGUUGUGACUGUUUAUUUUAACAAUAUUUUAUAACUGUUGUUGAAUGUUUUAAACAACUGUUUACUUGUUUUGCAAAAGAGCUUGUAAAACGGUUCAAGUUUAGAACGAACAACAACUAAGGCAUUUUUAACUCCAAGAAUACAUUCUUAUUUUUAAUGUUGAAUUGUGUAUAAUUGCCAGUGAACUGUCACUGUGCUUUAUAGUAUUAGAAAUAUUAGAUAAUGUAAUGGCUUUUAUUUGAAUUUUAUGUUUCAAUGCUUUUAUUGUGUCUUUUGGUCUGUGAUAUCUGUUUCAUUUGUUAUAAAAGAGUUUUACAUUUUUGUAAUCCAGUUUUCCUUAAAGGUAACUAUAACUUAUCCCAGUAUAUAACUGGGCUGUAGAAAAAUUAUUAUUAUUUAAUUAAUUGACAGACUCGAAAGAGUUUAUAUUAUGUGCUAGAUAUGUCAUUAUAAAUAGUUAUUGAUUUAUAUUCUCAGACCGUCAUACAAUUAGGUAUUUUUUUAUUCACAUAUGGAGGUAUUUUUGUACCUGUUCAUAUCUGAAGGUUGUUUAGUUUUAUAAAAAUUAAUUCCAUGUUUAGUUUUAUAAAAUUAAUUCCAGAAUCAUUUUUGUUGUAUUAUGUUCAAUUACUUGGACAUUCCAAAAGCUAGAAGGUUAUUUGGUAAUCUUACAGCACGAACUUUUUCUUCAUAAUAAAGGCUACUAUUCUUUUAAUAAAUGCUUCAUUUUGCUCUGUUUAUUUACACACACAUAUGUUAAAAUAUACAUACGGCAAUAAAGUUGAUUUAUGCGAUGACAAAACCUUUCCAACAAUGUGUCAUUAAAACGUCAAAUUCAAUUACUGGCAUUCUUUUUAAUAUUGAGUUGUGUAUCCGUGUAAAUUUCAGACUACUUUUAAAAUAACAAAAUAUGAUCUCCACUUCUUAAUAACUUUUAUUACACCCUGCUUCAUAAUACAACACACAGCUUUGGGAUUAUUGUUUCUUACACCCUGCUUCAUAAUACAACACACAGCGUUGGGAUUAUUGUUUAUUACACCCUGCUUCAUAAUACAACACACAGCGUUGGGAUUAUUGUUUUUUACUGCUGUGACAAAUAAAAUUGAAAAAAAUGUUUUUAUAAUUCUAUACAGCCUACUGAGCCUAAUAAAUGAAUUCCAUUUAUUGUAUAUACAUUUACACUCAUUGUUUAUGUUCUUAUAAUUUAUGUAAUAUUUUACUGCAAUUUAGUCAUUUGUAUUUAUUUUCUGUAAACACAGUUUACAAAGAAAUGCUCCAUUUUUAUACAAUAUGUUAAAUUCAGUAUAUUUACUUUACAAAAUAUGUCCAGAAGAACAACAACACAAGUUUUCAUGAGUUUACAACUUCUGUUGUUCUUCUCAACAUUGGCCUUUUGUUGUAUGCUCACAGGUUUUGUUCAUAGAUAUUUACAUAAACAUUGUUGAUGAUUUAGAACUCUUUCCAUUUUCUAUAGUACUUCGUAGUUAAUAGUAAUGUGUACUCCGGGAAAUGCUUCAGAAAUAAAUCUUGUAGAAAG